ACUAAGCGUACACGGUGGAUGCCCUGGCAGUCAGAGGCGAUGAAGGACGUGCUAAUCUGCGAUAAGCGCCGGUAAGGUGAUAUGAACCGUUAUAACCGGCGAUUUCCGAAUGGGGAAACCCAGUGUGAUUCGUCACACUAUCAUUAACUGAAUCCAUAGGUUAAUGAGGCGAACCGGGGGAACUGAAACAUCUAAGUACCCCGAGGAAAAGAAAUCAACCGAGAUUCCCCCAGUAGCGGCGAGCGAACGGGGAGGAGCCCAGAGCCUGAAUCAGCAUGUGUGUUAGUGGAAGCGUCUGGAAAGGCGCGCGAUACAGGGUGACAGCCCCGUACACAAAAGCGCAUGUGCUGUGAGCUCGAUGAGUAGGGCGGGACACGUGGUAUCCUGUCUGAAUAUGGGGGGACCAUCCUCCAAGGCUAAAUACUCCUGACUGACCGAUAGUGAACCAGUACCGUGAGGGAAAGGCGAAAAGAACCCCGGCGAGGGGAGUGAAAAAGAACCUGAAACCGUGUACGUACAAGCAGUGGGAGCNUGAGGGAAAGGCGAAAAGAACCCCGGCGAGGGGAGUGAAAAAGAACCUGAAACCGUGUACGUACAAGCAGUGGGAGCCCCACCACUAAGCCAGUGGUGAACUCCACAUACGCAUCCUUUGCUGAGGAUACGGUUAACGGAGCGCAAGCGACGUUCAACCGCAAAAGAAGCAGAGGGGGCUUAGUGGUGGGGUGACUGCGUACCUUUUGUAUAAUGGGUCAGCGACUUAUAUUCUGUAGCAAGGUUAACCGUAUAGGGGAGCCGGAGGGAAACCGAGUCUUAAUUGGGCGUUAAGUUGCAGGGUAUAGACCCGAAACCCGGUGAUCUAGCCAUGGGCAGGUUGAAGGUUGGGUAACACUAACGGGCGUUAAGUUGCAGGGUAUAGACCCGAAACCCGGUGAUCUAGCCAUGGGCAGGUUGAAGGUUGGGUAACACUAACUGGAGGACCGAACCGACUAAUGUUGAAAAAUUAGCGGAUGACCUGUGGCUGGGGGUGAAAGGCCAAUCAAACCGGGAGAUAGCUGGUUCUCCCCGAAAGCUAUUUAGGUAGCGCCUCGUGAAUUCAUCUCCGGGGGUAGAGCACUGUUUCGGCUAGGGGGCCAUCCCGGCUUACCAACCCGAUGCAAACUGCGAAUACCGGAGAAUGUUAUCACGGGAGACACACGGCGGGUGCUAACGUCCGUCGUGAAGAGGGAAACAACCCAGACCGCCAGCUAAGGUCCCAAAGUCAUGGUUAAGUGGGAAACGAUGUGGGAAGGCCCAGACAGCCAGGAUGUUGGCUUAGAAGCAGCCAUCAUUUAAAGAAAGCGUAAUAGCUCACUGGUCGAGUCGGCCUGCGCGGAAGAUGUAACGGGGCUAAACCAUGCACCGAAGCUGCGGCAGCGAGUAAUAGCUCACUGGUCGAGUCGGCCUGCGCGGAAGAUGUAACGGGGCUAAACCAUGCACCGAAGCUGCGGCAGCGAACGUAUCACUUAAAGCGAUUCAGCGGGUUACGAUUGACGGAGCGAAGCGACGUCAAAGCGUAUACAAAGUCGAGUCGGUUUAAGGAUACGUUCGUUGGGUAGGGGAGCGUUCUGUAAGCCUGUGAAGGUGGCCUGUGAGGGUUGCUGGAGGUAUCAGAAGUGCGAAUGCUNGUUGGGUAGGGGAGCGUUCUGUAAGCCUGUGAAGGUGGCCUGUGAGGGUUGCUGGAGGUAUCAGAAGUGCGAAUGCUGACAUAAGUAACGAUAAAGCGGGUGAAAAGCCCGCUCGCCGGAAGACCAAGGGUUCCUGUCCAACGUUAAUCGGGGCAGGGUGAGUCGACCCCUAAGGCGAGGCCGAAAGGCGUAGUCGAUGGGAAACGGGUUAAUAUUCCCGUACUUGGUGUUACUGCGAAGGGGGGACGGAGAAGGCUAUGUUGGCCGGGCGACGGUUGUCCCGGUUUAAGCGUGUAGGUGUGUGUUCCAGGUAAAUCCGGUUCACUUUAACACUGAGGCGUGAUGACGAGGCACUACGGUGCUGAAGCAACAAAUGCCCUGCUUCCAGGAAAAGCCUCUAAGCAUCAGGUAACAUCAAAUCGUACCCCAAACCGACACAGGUGGUCAGGUAGAGAAUACCAAGGCGCUUGAGAGAACUCGGGUGAAGGAACUAGGCAAAAUGGUGCCGUAACUUCGGGAGAAGGCACGCUGACAUGUAGGUGAAGUGAUUUACUCAUGGAGCUGAAGUCAGUCGAAGAUACCAGCUGGCUGCAACUGUUUAUUAAAAACACAGCACUGUGCAAACACGAAAGUGGACGUAUACGGUGUGACGCCUGCCCGGUGCCGGAAGGUUAAUUGAUGGGGUCAGCGCAAGCGAAGCUCCUGAUCGAAGCCCCGGUAAACGGCGGCCGUAACUAUAACGGUCCUAAGGUAGCGAAAUUCCUUGUCGGGUAAGUUCCGACCUGCACGAAUGGCGUAAUGAUGGCCAGGCUGUCUCCACCCGAGACUCAGUGAAAUUGAACUCGCUGUGAAGAUGCAGUGUACCCGCGGCAAGACGGAAAGACCCCGUGAACCUUUACUAUAGCUUGACACUGAACAUUGAGCCUUGAUGUGUAGGAUAGGUGGGAGGCUUUGAAGCGUGGACGCCAGUCUGCGUGGAGCCGGCCUUGAAAUACCACCCUUUAAUGUUUGAUGUUCUAACGUGGACCCGUGAUCCGGGUUGCGGACAGUGUCUGGUGGGUAGUUUGACUGGGGCGGUCUCCUCCUAAAGAGUAACGGAGGAGCACGAAGGUUGGCUAAUCCUGGUCGGACAUCAGGAGGUUAGUGCAAUGGCAUAAGCCAGCUUGACUGCGAGCGUGACGGCGCGAGCAGGUGCGAAAGCAGGUCAUAGUGAUCCGGUGGUUCUGAAUGGAAGGGCCAUCGCUCAACGGAUAAAAGGUACUCCGGGGAUAACAGGCUGAUACCGCCCAAGAGUUCAUAUCGACGGCGGUGUUUGGCACCUCGAUGUCGGCUCAUCACAUCCUGGGGCUGAAGUAGGUCCCAAGGGUAUGGCUGUUCGCCAUUUAAAGUGGUACGCGAGCUGGGUUUAGAACGUCGUGAGACAGUUCGGUCCCUAUCUGCCGUGGGCGCUGGAGAACUGAGGGGGGCUGCUCCUAGUACGAGAGGACCGGAGUGGACGCAUCACUGGUGUUCGGGUUGUCAUGCCAAUGGCACUGCCCGGUAGCUAAAUGCGGAAGAGAUAAGUGCUGAAAGCAUCUAAGCACGAAACUUGCCCCGAGAUGAGUUCUCCCUGAGACUUAGAGUCUCCUGAAGGAACGUUGAAGACGACGACGUUGAUAGGCCGGGUGUGUAAGCGCAGCGAUGCGUUGAGCUAACCGGUACUAAUGAACCGUGAGGCUUAACC
This 3387-nucleotide ribosomal RNA is filed under the name Salmonella enterica subsp. enterica serovar Derby. RNAcentral's name for it is "bacterial LSU rRNA". It matches the Rfam family "Bacterial large subunit ribosomal RNA". Lineage: Bacteria; Pseudomonadati; Pseudomonadota; Gammaproteobacteria; Enterobacterales; Enterobacteriaceae. The record is from RNAcentral.